This 69-nucleotide transfer RNA is filed under the name Harpago chiragra. RNAcentral's name for it is "tRNA-Phe". It matches the Rfam family "tRNA". Rfam says of the family: Transfer RNA (tRNA) molecules are approximately 80 nucleotides in length. Lineage: Eukaryota; Metazoa; Mollusca; Gastropoda; Littorinimorpha; Strombidae. The record is from RNAcentral.
GCUUAAAUAGCUUAUACUCAUAGAGCAUGGCACUGAAGAUGCCAAGGAGGCGGUUAGCGCCUUUGAGCA